GUGUAGUUAAAAGUUUGGGUUUAAAAUUUUGGGUGUAGUUAGAAGUUUGGGUUUAGAAUGUUGGGUGUAGUUAGAAGUUUGGGUUUAGAAUGUUGGGUGUAGUUAAAAGUUUGGGUUUAGAAUGUUGGGUGUAGUUAGAAGUUUGGGUUUAGAAUGUUGGGUGUAG
Pimephales promelas (fathead minnow) is the source of this 166-nucleotide non-coding RNA. NCBI's taxonomy places the organism in Eukaryota, Metazoa, Chordata, Actinopteri, Cypriniformes, Leuciscidae. The record is from RefSeq and is a predicted model, not a curated record.